CCCGCUGAACUUAAGCAUAUCAAUAAGCGGAGGAAAAGAAACUAACAAGGAUUCCCUUAGUAACUGCGAGUGAAGAGGGAAAAGCUCAAAUUUAAAAUCUGGCAGUGUUUCACUGUCCGAGUUGUAACCUAGAGAAGUGUAACCUGCGCUGGACCGUGUAUAAGUCUCCUGGAAUGGAGCAUCACAGAGGGUGAGAAUCCCGUCUUUGACAUGGACCACCAGUGCAUUGUGGUUGUGCUCUCAACGAGUCGAGUUGUUUGGGAAUGCAGCUCUAAACGGGUGGUAAAUUCCAUCUAAAGCUAAAUAUUGGCGAGAGACCGAUAGCGAACAAGUACCGUGAGGGAAAGAUGAAAAGAACUUUGGAAAGAGAGUUAAACAGUAUGUGAAAUUGUUGAAAGGGAAACGUUUGAAGUCAGUCGCGUUGGUUGGGGAUCAGCCUGACAUUGUUGGGUUUACUUCCUGGUCGACGGGCCAACAUCAGUUUUGACUGCCAGAAAAAGGCCAAAGGAAUGUGGCACCUUUGGGUGUGUUAUAGCCAUUGGUCGUAUAUGGUGGUUGGGACUGAGGAAAGCAGCGUGCCGAAAGGCCGGGUUUUUAACCACGUACGUGCUUAGGAUGCUGGCAUAAUGGCUUUAAUCGACCCGUCUUGAAACACGG
RNAcentral lists this ribosomal RNA (657 nucleotides) under uncultured fungus. RNAcentral describes it as "eukaryotic LSU rRNA". It matches the Rfam family "Eukaryotic large subunit ribosomal RNA", at positions 24 to 664 of the family's 3401-position model. The record is from RNAcentral. Lineage: Eukaryota; Fungi.